CCUACGGGUUGCACCAGUGGGGAAUAUUGCACAAUGGCGCAAGCCUGACGCAGCCAUGCCGCGUGUAUGAAGAAGGCCUUCGGGUUGUAAAGUACUUUCAGCGGGGAGGAAGGCGAUAAGGUUAAUAACCUUGUCGAUUGACGUUACCCGCAGAAGAAGCACCGGCUAACUCCGUGCCAGCAGCCGCGGUAAUACGGAGGGUGCAAGCGUUAAUCGGAAUUACUGGGCGUAAAGCGCACGCAGGCGGUCUGUCAAGUCGGAUGUGAAAUCCCCGGGCUCAACCUGGGAGCUGCAUUCGAAACUGGCAGGCUAGAGUCUUGUAGAGGGGGGUAGAAUUCCAGGUGUAGCGGUGAAACGCGUAGAGAUCUGGAGGAAUACCGGUGGCGAAGGCCGCCCCCUGGACAAAGACUGACGCUCAGGUGCGAAAGCGUGGGGAGCAAACAGGAUUAGAUACCCCAGUAGUC
This 464-nucleotide ribosomal RNA is filed under the name uncultured bacterium. RNAcentral's name for it is "bacterial SSU rRNA". It matches the Rfam family "Bacterial small subunit ribosomal RNA", at positions 338 to 795 of the family's 1533-position model. The record is from RNAcentral.